UACAGAGGGUGCGAGCGUUAAUCGGAAUUACUGGGCGUAAAGCGCACGUAGGUGGCGACGUAAGUCGGGUGUGAAAGCCCCGGGCUCAACCUGGGAAUUGCAUUCGAGACUGCAUUGCUGGAGUACGGAAGAGGAAGGCGGAAUUCCCGGUGUAGCGGUGAAAUGCGUAGAUAUCGGGAGGAACAUCAGUGGCGAAGGCGGCCCUCUGGUCCAGUACUGACGCUGAGGCACGAAAGCCAGGGGAGCGAACGGG
This 253-nucleotide ribosomal RNA is filed under the name uncultured bacterium. Its description in RNAcentral is "partial 16S ribosomal RNA". It matches the Rfam family "Bacterial small subunit ribosomal RNA", at positions 524 to 776 of the family's 1533-position model. The record is from RNAcentral.